Molecule: ribosomal RNA, 1860 nt
Filed under: marine metagenome
Description: bacterial LSU rRNA
Rfam family: Bacterial large subunit ribosomal RNA
Source: RNAcentral
GCGAAAGCGAGUCUGAAUAGGGCGUUUAGUUGCAUGGAUUAGACCCGAAACCGUGUGAGCUACCCAUGACCAGGGUGAAGCGAAAUUAACGUUUCGUGAAGGCCCGAACCCUUGUACGCUGCAAAGUGCUGGGAUGAGUUGUGGGUAGAGGAGAAAUUCCAAACGAACACGGAGAUAGCUGGUUCUCCCCGAAAUGUAUUUAGGUACAGCCUUAGGUAUUAACUGAUGGAGGUAGAGCACUGGAUGAGCUAGCGGGCGCAAGUUUAGCAAACUCAACCAAACUAAGAAUGCCAUCAGCCGAAUCCUAGGAGUGAGACAGUGACGGAUAAGCGCCAUUGUCGAAAGGGAAACAGCCCAGAUCGCAAGCUAAGGUCCCAAAGUUAUAGUUAAGUGGUAAAGGAAGUUGGAUCGCCCAGACAGCUAGUAGGUUGGCUUAGAAGCAGCCAUCCUUUAAAGAGUGCGUAAUAGCUCACUAGUCGAGGGGUUCUGCGCCGAAAAUUAUCGGGGCUAAACUAUACACCGAAGCUGCGGGAUUCUUUAUGAAUCGGUAGGGGAGCGUUCUCAAUGCACUGAAUCUGAAUUGUGAAAUUUGGUGGAGCGUUGAGAAGUGAGAAUGUCGGCAUGAGUAGCGACAAUCUUUGUGAGAAUCAAAGACACCGGAAGUCCGAGGUUUCCUACGCAACGUUGAUCGGCGUAGGGUUAGUCGGUCCUAAGGAGAAGCCGAAAGGUGAAUUCGAUGGACAGCUGGUCAAAAUUCCAGCACCGUAAUUAUCCUGUUAUGCAACGAAGGGACGCGAUAAGGACUGUUAAGCAUGCCUAUGGACAUGGUGUGUGGGGCCUUGUAGGGAAGUGAUUGUGGUUAAAAGAACAGUUACGUUAUUAACUGAGAAGGUUUCAGACCUUAAGGCUUCGGCCUUAGGGAAUUUAACACGAACUACGUCGCCAAGAAAAGCUUCGUUGAUAGGGAUAUUAUGACCGUACCGAAAACCGACACAGGUGGACAGGGGUAAAAGCCCCAAGGUGAACGAGAAAACCAUCCUCAAGGAACUCGGCAAAUUAACCCCGUAACUUCGGAAUAAGGGGAGCCUAAAGUAUAUAGACCUCGCGUUGAAAGUAUUUUAGGCCGCAGAGAAUUGGUCUGAGCGACUGUUUAUCAAAAACACAGGUCCGUGCUAAAGCGAAAGCUGAUGUAUACGGGCUGACGCCUGCCCAGUGCCGGUAGGUUAAAGUGAAGAGUGAGAGCUUUGAUCUGAAGUCCCGGUGAACGGCGGCCGUAACUAUAACGGUCCUAAGGUAGCGAAAUCCCUUGUCGGGUAAGUUCCGACCUGCACGAAAGGCGUAACGACUUGGACACUGUCUCGAGGGUGGACUCGGUGAAAUUGCAUGACCCGUAAAGAUGCGGGUUACGCGCAGCAGGACAAAAAGACCCCGUGGAGCUUUACUGUAGCUUGGCAUUGAAUUGUGAUUAAUGAUGUGUAGGAUAGGCGGGAGACUAUGAAUUUUGAGCGUCAGCUCAAUUGGAGUCGCCCUUGAAAUACCGCCCUUCUUUGGUCUUGAUUCUAACUUUUUUAGGACAGUGUCUGGUAGGCAGUUUGACUGGGGCGGUCGCCUCCUAAAAUGUAACGGAGGCGCCCAAAGGUAACCUCAGGCUGGAUGGAAAUCAGCUUUUGAGUGCAUUGGCAUAAGGUUGCUUGACUGCGAGACCAACAAGUCGAGCAGGGACGAAAGUCGGGCAAAGUGAUCCCACGGUACCGAGUGGAAGGGCCGUGGCUUAACGGAUAAAAGCUACCCCGGGGAUAACAGGCUUAUCUCCCCCAAGAGUCCAUAUCGACGGGGAGGUUUGGCACCUCGAUGUCGGCU